GGAGGUAGGCAUGUCAUGGUAUGUAGCUCAGCUUGUGGGAGUCAGUCCUCUCUUUCUGCCUUUAAGUCCUUGGUAUCAAACUCAGGCCUUUGUCAGCCUUGUCUGUGGACACCGGACACCCGUGAAUGCAUCUCAUUGGCUCUUUGAGACCCAUAGUUUGCCUUCUCCCAUCCAAGUCGGUCCAUUCCCCUGGGCUGUGAGAGCCGUUGCUCUUAAGUGGUUGAGUUGGAAGUGCAUAGCCUCCCACUCCCUAAGGAACAGUCUGUCCCAUUUAGGCUACAGUCCCGCUGGAUACAGGAGAGGGGCUGAGGGGAGGGAGGCCAACUGAAAAAAAAAAAAAAA
Molecule: long non-coding RNA, 342 nt
Filed under: Rattus norvegicus (Norway rat)
Lineage: Eukaryota; Metazoa; Chordata; Mammalia; Rodentia; Muridae
Description: long non-coding RNA NONRATT007579
Source: RNAcentral